AGAGUUUGAUCCUGGCUCAGGAUGAACGCUAGCUACAGGCUUAACACAUGCAAGUCGAGGGGAAACGAUAUUGGAAGCUUGCUUCCGAUAGGCGUCGACCGGCGUACGGGUGAGUAACGCGUAUCCAACCUGCCCACCACUUGGGGAUAACCUUGCGAAAGUAAGACUAAUACCCAAUGACGUCUCUAGAAGACAUCUGAAAGAGAUUAAAGAUUUAUCGGUGAUGGAUGGGGAGUGCGUCUGAUUAGCUUGUUGGCGGGGUGGACGGCCCACCAAGGCGACGAUCAGUAGGGGUUCUGAGAGGAAGGCCCCCCACAUUGGAACUGAGACACGGUCCAAACUCCUACGGGAGGCAGCA
RNAcentral lists this ribosomal RNA (358 nucleotides) under uncultured bacterium. RNAcentral's name for it is "bacterial SSU rRNA". It matches the Rfam family "Bacterial small subunit ribosomal RNA", at positions 8 to 353 of the family's 1533-position model. The record is from RNAcentral.